Molecule: ribosomal RNA, 395 nt
Filed under: uncultured bacterium
Lineage: Bacteria
Description: bacterial SSU rRNA
Rfam family: Bacterial small subunit ribosomal RNA
Source: RNAcentral
UCGGGAAUUUUGGGCAAUGGGCGAAAGCCUGACCCAGCAACGCCGCGUGAGGGAUGAAGUAUUUCGGUAUGUAAACCUCGAAAGAAUGGGAAGAAUAAAUGACGGUACCAUUUAUAAGCUCCGGCUAACUACGUGCCAGCAGCCGCGGUAAUACGUAGGGAGCAAGCGUUGUUCGGAUUUACUGGGCGUAAAGGGCGCGUAGGCGGCGCGGUAAGUCACUUGUGAAAUCUCUGAGCUUAACUCAGAACGGCCAAGUGAUACUGCUGUGCUAGAGUGCGGAAGAGGCAACCGGAAUUCUUGGUGUAGCGGUGAAAUGCGUAGAUAUCAAGAGGAACACCUGAGGCGAAGGCGGGUUGCUGAGCCGACACUGACGCUGAUGCGCGAAAGCCAGGGGA